Molecule: long non-coding RNA, 18662 nt
Filed under: Coffea arabica (coffee)
Lineage: Eukaryota; Viridiplantae; Streptophyta; Magnoliopsida; Gentianales; Rubiaceae
Description: long non-coding RNA (CARA_LNC004280)
Source: RNAcentral
GUCUUUAGAGGUAAGACUUGCUUUUCCACCUUCUCUGCAUAAGACACCAUUUGUUGAAUCUCAAAGUGGUCUUGAAGCUCAACUUUUUUCCUAAUUUUAGGAUUUAAUCCAUUAAGGAACCUCGCCAUGGUUGCUUCCGGAUUCUCUUGUACAUUAGCCCUUAUCAUCGCUACCUCCAUUUCUUUGCGGUACUCAUCAACCGAAUUAGAACCUUGAGUGAGUCGUUGAAGCCGAUUGUACAAGUCCGUGGUAUAAUGGAAAGGUACAAAUCGUUUCCUCAUCACUUGCUUCAUUUCAGUCCAAGUGUCAAUCGGUUGCUCCCUAUUUCUCCUCCUUGUGGCACAUACUUGCUCCCACCAAAUAGAUGUAUAAUCUAGAAAUUCAAUAACUGCAAGUUUCACCUUUUUCUCUUCAGAGUAAUUGUGGACUUCAAACACUUACUCAACUCGCCUAACCCAAUCGAAGCUUCAGGAUCAUUUUUCCCAUGAAAGGUAGCCAUCUUGGUCUUGAUGGAACCAAGAUUAUUAGAGCAAACUUGAUGAAGCAUCAUACGCUACAGCUGUGUAUUUUUUAGUAUGUAAACUUCUAAAUAGAGCAAUUAAUGGCUGAAUAUUAGAUAUCUAAAUUAUUUAGCUCUCCGUAUUCAAGGCUUUUAAAUCUGAACUAUUAAGUGAACUGAAUGAGCUUUUAACUCACGGUUUAAUCCGAUUCAAAAGAUUUUUCUGUUUUUAGUCUUUUAAUUAUUAGGUAACUUAUAUGUCUUUGAAAAUUAAAAAAAAUUAAAUUUAGAUUGAAUCAGUUCAAAGACUGGUUUAAUCGGUUUUGGACCAGAUUUGACUGGUUUGAAUCGCUUUUGAAGUUGACUAGUGAACCGGACUAGUGCACAGUCAAUUUUCCUUUUAAGCAGUCAAACCGUGUGGAACAGUAAUAACCUUUAGAACAUUUUUAUUUUUUUUUAAUGAAAAUGAUGCAAAACAAUUAAGCACACAUGAUUUGAGGGUAUGAAAACAGUAAUAAAAAUAAGAGAGAUAAUUUGAGAAUUUUCAAGUCGAUACAAAAGAUUUAAAAUGACACAUGGGUCCACCAGUAUUCUUCAAUUCAAUUUUUCUUAAUUGAAUUAUCAUACAGGCCGGCUUUUGAGGUUAAUUCUGGGAUUAGGUUUAUAAAACAACAAAAGUCUGAUUCAGGCUGUUGAAAAAAAAAAAAAAUUAUCAUACAGAAGUACACUUCACAAUUUUUAGCCACCUGUCCUUUCUAGAAUUUGGUUCUAAUUUAUGAUUAUUAAUCAUCUGGGGAGGAUAAAAAAAUGUCAGACGUUGCUCUCGUUUUCACUAUUUAAAUUACAAAAAAAGUACGGAUGCGUCCAAAUUUGCAUUUCCUAAUCAAGUUGUUAUUUCUUGAGCAGGCUACUACUAUUACCAACACGCAUGUAGGAAUAUUUGACUGAAAAAAACUUUCAAAGUCUGCUAGCAUUUUUAAUUACUGUUCUACAUGCCAAAAAUUUAUGUCACACUUAAAUUUUUUUUUUUUAAAUAUUUUUAGACCUCCAACUAUUAAGUGUAUUUUUGCCCUUUAACUUUCUAAAACAUGCCACUAACGAUCUUUCGUUACUUUGAGUCGUUAAGGCUAGCAGAAACAACAUCAAAACAAUAAUGUUAUUUGAGACUGAAAUUGACAGAAGGGUAAAUAUUUGUAUUAAAAUUCAGGUGGUAAAAAGAUACAUGUAGUAGUUAAAAAACCAAAAAAAAAAAUACAAAUCUAAAUAUUUUUAGAGCAAUUUCUGCCCUGUUUCUGAUGUCUAGCAAGAAGACGACUGUACCGCUUUCUUUCUAUUUCCGUUAGUCCAUACGGUCAAACAGCAGGUGCAUGGCAUGGUGAAUGCCAAACAUAUUUUAUUCGUGGAAAUUUCAACCUUUUCUCAUGCCACGUGCACCUUAAUUAAUAUAUUAAUUACAAAACAAGAAAAAAAUAUAUUAGGGAAAUAUUAAUAAGAACAAAGUUGUCAAACCACUUUAUGUAACUUAUGCAAAAUAACUUGUACUGAAUAAACUUGAGGGCCUUCUUUAUAAGCCUCUAUUAAGCAAUUAUUAAGAAUAAGCCUCCAUUAAGAAUGAAAUCUUCUGCUGAAAUAUGGAGACAAACACGUGAACAUUUGGAAAAUUUUUUAUUUCUUUAAUUUUAGGAUACGAAAAAUAAAUGAUAUCAGGAUUCUUCUAUCUAUCUUUAUAAGCUCUGUUUCUAUAUAUAUUUGCUCAUUUUAUGCUAAUACUAAUUAUCAAACAUCCUCUUUUCUAUUUACCUUUCUCAGGCCAAUGAAGAAGAAAAAGAUGUUGUGAAGAUAAAAAUCCAAACUGCAAUUGCAGCUUUAAAUGAUCCAGACAGCCCUAUGAGCAUGUGAAGAGAAAGAAUGAGGCUCAGCAUUGUGAAUUAUCCAAGAAUGCAUCUAGGGAUAAUAGAUGUCAACAACAAAAUCAGUUUUCUUCUUGUCAAGUUUUUCUACAGUAGUAAUUAGGCUGUAGUUUAGUUCCCUUUCAAGAAGAUGAGUGGAAUAAGUAAUGUGCUUUGGUUUUGUUGAUCUAUUUUUGUAUCUCUCUUGUGUGUAUAUAUGUUACACAAGUUUUUACGAAGGUCUGAUCUUUCUACUGUUUGGUUGUUUAGACCAAAGCAUAGUUUCUUCUCGCACUUCAAUAAUCUUGGUUUUUUUUUUAAAAAUUUUUUAACAGAGGAGGGAUGAGAUUUAAGAAGUUAGAAGAUGAAAGCCUCAAGGGAUUUUUAAAAGAUAAGUUGUAAUUUAUGAUUUUUAUGUUAUUACAAGUAACUCAUCUUGGUGGGAUCAGUACAACCAACUUACAAUUUAAAAAUAGAGUAAAUUUUAUAUACACUGACAGUGAUAUUAGAAACAAAAUCCAUGAAUUGUGAGAUGAAAACUAACAUAUAUUUAUACUAAACAAAUCACAUGGAGUGGGGUUUAAAUUUAAGACCUCUAAAUCAUGAGUUGUAAUCUGUACUUUUAAAACUUUUUACUCAACUUUUAUGAAUUUUGUCCUCGCAAAAGUAAUUGCCAUUUUUUUAUGCAAAUUAAUUACAAUUUUUACUCGCAUAUUAAAAGAACUAAUUCUACUUUGUACCCUUAAAUUUGUAUCACCUUUCCAUUUUAGAUACUUUGCACCUAAAACUCUCAAUAUUGGAUUGUUCGUAUCAUAAACUCUCAAGUUUGUCCUAAUUUAAUCCAAUAAAUGACAAAGUUAGCAAAAUUAACAGGAUAAAGGAUGGUGUAAAUUAAUGAUGGUAUAUAGUUUUAUUCUACCUGUGAUCCCUUAACUCCUUUUGACUACUUUCAGCAAAGCGAGUCAAGAGAUACAGAGAAAGAUCAAUCAAAAACCAAAGGGAAAUUAACUGCAGCCUAAUUAUCAUGGUAGAAAAUUUUGACAAGAAGAAAAUUGAUUUUGUGGUUGACAUCUAUUAUCUCUAGAUGCAUUCUUGGAUAAUUCACAAUUCUAAACCUCACUAUUUCUCUUAAACACAUGCUCAUAGGGCUGUCUGGAUCAUUUAAAGCUGCAAUUGCAGUUUGGAUCCUCAUUGGCCUGAAAAAGAUAUAUGGAAAAGAGAAUAUUUGAUAAUUAUUAUUAGCAGAAAAUUAGCAUAUAUAUAUAUGUAUGUAUUUCCAACUGUGCACAUGUUUGUCUCCAUAUUUCAAUAGAAGAUUUCAUUGAUAUUCUUGCACAUCAUGCAUUAAAAAGCUUGUACUACAUUUAGAAGAAAAUACUUAUAUUGUUAAGGGUUUGUGUAACAAUUUCUUAAUGGGCGUUUAGUCUUUAACAAUUGCUUAAUAGAGGCUUAUAAAGAAGGCUCUCUUGUGUAUUUCCUAAAUAUGAAAUUAAAGCUAAGAAAGCAUCUACAUGGAAGAGGUUACAAUAUAUGUGAGUCAGUACACUUGUCUUCUUGCUAGGCAUAAGAAACGGGCAGAAAUUGCUCUAAAAUAUUUAGAUUUAUAUAUUUUUGGCUUUUUAACUAAAGCAUGUAUCUUUUUACAACUAGAAUUUUUAUACAAUUAGUGUCCCUUAGGCACCCUAAUUUUUUUUUCUUAUAUUUUAAAUAGACAAAUUUUCUUUAUACGUUUAAUCUAUAGUAACCCUCUAAAAGUAUUCAUUAAGUUUUUGAAAAAGUCCAACAUAAAAAAUACACUAGAUAUUUUCAUCUUACCAUCUAAUUCAAUCCUUCAUUGAAGUGUAUUACUAUGAUCGUUCAAUCAAGGUGAAGAAUACCCAUUUGUCAUUUUAAAUCUUCUUUAUCAAUUAGAAAAUUCUCACAUUACUUCUCUCAUCAAUUAGACAAGUUGCCCACUUUGGUAUCUCAAAAAUUUUCAGCUAAAAGAGAGCUGUUUGAUUUCCGUGUGGAUUUAGUAGAUAAGCAACUUAAGGUAAAACUGUAUUCAGAAUUAACUUACAAGCAUCUCGUUCAAAAGUAGACUUUCUUAACCGCAUCAGGUCUUUUGUUACACAAUAAUGGUAUGCAGCAUUCAUGUUAUACACUCUAAUGUGUUAACACUUGUCCUUUCUAUUGACAUAAAAAAUAAACCAAACAUAUUUAGAAGUUUAGUAGUCUUAGAAGUAGAUUUAUUAUUUAGGAACUAGAUUAGAAUUGGUGCCAAACUUAGUUUUGGAAAAUCAGUUAGGUUAUAUUUAGGUGUUAGAAUUGAAAUAGGUUUCAUAAUUUUAUUUUUUUUAUUUAAAGACUUGAAGUCCACGUUUGUAGAUUGAGGAAAAUUGGUCUACUGAUAGAAUAAAAUUUUCUAAUUCCUCCAAGCCUUCUAGUUCCUUCGUAUUGUUCUUAUUGUGAAUAGAUCGUAUGGUCAUUCAUGACCAGUCCAAGUGAUACGAAAUUCCACAUUCUUUUUGAUAUUAUUGUGAUUUAUCCAGCCGUAUAGCUAUCCUUCUUAUUCUUUUGAUUUUUUUUUUUUUUUUUGCCUAUCGUUUGAUAUAAUACUGUGUUUUUUCUGCCGUGUGAUUUUUUAUGCUAACAAACUUUGCUCCGUGCCUUCUUUUGCGUACGGUUUUUCUGUUUUCAUCAAUAUUGAACAAGCUAAGGCCUUGUUUGCUAGACAAGUUUUUUGUCAAGUUUGUCUGCUACAAGUUUUUUAAAAACUUUAACUACAGUAAUCUCAAAAAAUUUUCAAAAAUUUUAAACUAUAUACUUCAAAAUAUUAAAAAAACACACUUCAAAAAUUUUUUAAAAAACUUCUACAGUAAGUUACAAUUAAAGUUUUAGAUAAAUACAAAAAAAAUCACUUAUCAAACGGGCCAAAUUACAUAGCAAAUCUGUUUCUCUAGUUUGAAAAUAUGAAUGUCUUCCGCUGUAAGUUUUAUGUGCCAACAUUUUUUUGAAUUAUCAUAAUUAUAUAUUUCUAAUUAAAUUGAACUCUUGAAACGAAUACGUGUCAAUACUUCAGAAUAUAUAACAUGGAUGUUACACAUUAGCGUACAAUAGAAGACCUAUAGCUCCUCCUUGGCUCGGGAACUCAUAGGAAACAGCAUUGACAAUGAGACCUCAAAAGAAGAACAGGAAACUCUACGUAAUGAAGCUAUCAUUGGCGCAUUUUCAAGGCAUUUUCAAGCGCAUUUAUUCAAUUGCGUCCUCCAAUUUGAUACUGAGUUUGAACAGAAUCGAAGUUUUCUUUCAUUGUCUUAAGACUACAGCAGUUUCAACAAUUAUUGCCCCGAAAUGGUUUGCAAAUGGCCCGAGCCCACUCGCUUUAAUUAGGUGGGAGUUUUCUUGUGUGGUAUACCACCACAAAGGCGAUAUUCAUUGAGGACUAUACUGACUUUAAUGGGUGCCUUUCUUUUUCUUCUUGAUAUAUGUUCUUUUGUUUGGAUUUCGCCUGGCCAAUCACUUUUUUUUUUUUUUUUAAAGUCAUUCAAUCAACUCAGUUACAUAAAUCAGGAGAAGUUGUAUAAAUUAAUCCACGUUAUAUUGUGAUUUGAUAUGUAUGAAAGCUUUAAAUGCAAAAAGAAAACAAAUGAAUGUAAAGCCUAUGAACUAUUUUUGGCACCAUCAAGUAGUGGUCUCAUCUAUGCUUAGAUUUCAAACAGUCUGUCGCAACUUUUACAUCAAUUGCAGUCUCCCUCUGAUAUUAAUAACGGUUGUACUUCCUGAUAAAGUUUAUUCCAUAUUUUCUCCUUGAACUUCUAACCUCUUGGCAGAAGUUCCCAUGACUUAGUUUUCUAGAGAACAGUUAACUGUUUCAUACCAGUCCAAUUAUUUUAAAGCACUUUUUAGUAGCCUGAGCAGGCAUGGAUUGGCACAUUUAGCCCUAUAAGAUUCAAUUUUUAGCCUCAAGAAAGGCGAUAUAGGUGGACCUUAGGCAUAAAUUGAAACCCAAUUUGACAAUACAUUCUGAUAAUCAUUAUAGUUGGAAAAUAUUCAGUGAGAGAAUCUUUAAAUUCAUUGUUCAUGUCACGCUCUCGACUUAAUUACGUUAACUUUUAGCCUUAGAUUUUGAUGAACAUAAUUGCAUUUACUCAGGUUCAUAUUUAGAGGAGUAUCAACUUCUACAUAUAUUGCAAAGGACAUUGAGGGGGACUAGCAAUAAUUGAUAUGACUCAUAUCACAAUGUUGAUUGUUCAGUAUGAGAAGUUUGAUUAGGGAAGAAAGUCCUUGCCAGGCUGGGGUGAGGAAACCAGAAAAAGAUGUCUCGUGACUUGACAAGAAAAAAGCCAAUUUUGGACUCGUUAAGGUCCUGCAACUAGCACCCAAAAUCAAGGAACCUUGGUAUUAUUGGAGUGAUUGCUUGGGACCGGAAGAGCCAAGUGAUAGCUGGAUGGGCAUUAAGUGAAAAGAAAUUCAGGAAGAUGCUGAAGGAUUACGGUUGGCACUGAUGGAAGUAAUUGAAAAAUGGUGGAGGCAAAAUUAAAUCCGUCUGCUCCAACAAUCAACUGAAUUUAAUGCCAGGAUGUGUACAGAUAUAGAUUUAGCUACCAUACUCGAAGACAUUUCACAUAUUCAGUUCUUGGAUUCAACUCCUUAGAACCUAGAACAGAUUUUGAUCUUACAAGUAGAAUAGCUGAUUCUGGUUCACGUAUCACCAAAGUUGAGAUUGGUUUCUAACAACUAAGCUGUGACUAUCAUAGGCUUUUGUAUAUGUGGCAAGUUGCUCCAUCUGAUGGACACUCCUUGCUAAGCAUUCCGAUAUUUAUUCUUUACUACUGAGACUCUGCAAAAUUUUAAAUUUUUUAGCAUUAACAAUUCCUUCUUCAUUGCGGCAACUUGAAUAUAAUUUCUGUACCUUGACAAACAUAAUUUUUUUUUCUUCUUUGCUUGAAUUUCUUGGCCUCCUUGGCUUAUGCCUCGAUCAAAUUCCUCUACAGAAACAACCCCAAUCAACAAUUCCUGGCAGGGUCAUUGCUUUAAUUGCUAAUACAACACCAACAACAAUAAUUUCGACAGGAUCCCUCUUAUCAGAUCAACAGCGAGUGUCCAAGACCAACUUCUGAUCUAAUUUUUCGAUAUUCGAGUACUCUAUCACAAACAUAUGACUAAUAUCAAAGCACUCUAUCACGUACAUACAUACAUACAUUAUAUAUAUAUAUAUAUAUAGUAGUCAUUUUGUCGAUACUUAUAUUGUACUAUACUAUAUAAGUGUUGGCAUAAUUAAACCAAAAUUCCUAAUAAUUAAUGUUUUUUUAUUUCUAAAUUAGAAGUUCUAGUCUAGUCACAAAAUUUUAGUAGUUUAUUUGGUUUUAGAGUUUCCUAAUUACCAAGUCUUGUGUGCUAUUUAUAGAAUGCCUAAUUAUUAUUUUCAAUUGAGAAGAGUGAGAGACAAAAAUUAGAGAGUUGUGAUUAUUGUAAAGACAAUUCUGCCUAAAAUCUAUGCCCAUCUCAAUAUAAGAGUCCGAUAUGCUUUAUGUACUUUAUAAUCAUCAAACUCCUAUUCUCUUAUAUAUCAUUGUUAUACGUAUCAAAUAUGCUUCUGCUAUGCGAUUUUAGUGCCUACAAGUAGGGAUGUUCAUAGACCAGGUAACUAGUCCAUUUGCAAUUUCACUGACCCUAACUACAAAUAGCAGUUUGACAAAAUUGUAUUUCAUACACUAAGCCUAUUCAAUCGGUUUACCUGCAGCAUAGGGUCGGGUAUAGGAUUGUAUACGAGUUGAACUACUCAUGAGCAGUUUGAGUCAAUAUUCGACUUGAGUUCGAGCUAAUUAAAUUGAGCUUGAACUUGAACUCGAAGUCAAAGAUACUUAACUCAUUAGUUUGCGAGUUGACCUGAUUAUAUAUAUAUAUAUAUUAUUUUAAUAGUAAAAUUAUACAUAUCUUUAAUAUUUUAUUAUUUGAUUAUUUGUUAAGAAAAAUUACUAUUUUAUUUAUUUUUAAAAAAAAAAUAAUUAUUUUUUAAGCUUGAGCUUGAGCUCAAUUUGACUCAAAUUUGAGGUCGAGUUUGGGCUCAAGCUCGAGUUGAGACACAGAUUGAUUUGGCUAAAGUUCGACUCGACCUAACUCGUUUACAAGCCUAGUCGAUUAUACAGGGUAACCUAUCCCUCUUGUACUUAUAGGAAAAUGGAAAAACAAAAUUAGAUUAACAAAGAAAAUAACACAAUACUUGUCCAAAUUAAUAAAAGUUGUUAAUCCUACAACUCUAAAAACCACCAACAAAAUAGAAAAUCAAAACACAAUAGAUAAUUAAAACAUAAAAAUAUUUCAAACAUUUAUUUUCAUUUUUCUACUUCUUGAAAACUAUUUAUUUUCAUUUUUUUUAUUAAGGAUGACAUGUUGCUUUACUACAUAAAAUGUAAGCUCUAAAAAAUAAUAAAAAAAAAUAGAACGGUGAAGUAGAUAGAAUUUAUGAGAAAGGAAAAGGAAUUUUGAUGAAAGAGAAAAAAUUAAGUAGCAGAGUAAAUGAAAUUAAUGGCAAUGAAGAUGGACAAUGGAUAAAGUAAACAAAAGAUAGGGUUCGAUAUACAAGUUUAUAAGUUGUGAAAACUAACAUGUAUAAUGGCAUGGGGUUCAUAACUUAAAUUAUUGGUAAAUGACUAAAUAAUUAUGGGUUGAGAUUUGGAUACUAAUUAUCUUAACCAACCUUGCAUGUAUGCGGGUUAAGUUUGGGUGACCACGAUUUUUGAAAAUUGAAAACCAUACCCUAACCUAAUUUUUCAAGUAGAUUUGGAUAGCUUAACCAAUUUAAAAAUUAUGUUGGUUACCCUAUUUUUUGGUUUGGACCAAUUCGAUUUUCUUGGUUACCCGUUUUUUCGAUUAUUUUUUAAUACCCCUACCUACAAGUGGUAUCACAACCCUAGACUUUGUUCCUGUGAUGUUCAUAAAAUUUAGAUUACAAGGUUGAUGCUAACAGGAUUUUGAAGGGUAAAUUUUUUUAUGAGUUAGAGUACUCGAACAUCGAAAAAACAUGGACCAUUGGAUCGGUCCUGGAAGUUAUUUGACAAUAAAAAAAUUGACUCUAAUUGGAUAGAAAUCUUAAAAAAGAGACUUUGUUGAGUUGAUGUUGUUGGACAAUGAUUAGAAGAAAAGAUCCUAUCAUAGUUGUUGAUAUUUUGGUCAUAUGAAACAGAUGAAAAAAAAUUCCUGUCUCCUUGUUCAUUCUGAUUGAUUUGUAAAAGUAAAAAUCUUGAUACUAGAUGUCAUUCAAGGAGGCUAAUAAAUUAAAUGUGAAGUGAUUAACAAGAAUUGAUGCAAAGAUGAACAAAGCAUUUCAAUACUUUUAAUGAAGAUUACUUUUGUUGGUCAUAAUGUGGAGCUAUAUUAAUAGAAAUUUUAGCAUAAUGAAGGCAUUGCUGACAUAAUUAAAUCAAACUUAAUGUUUUCUAUUUCUAUUAGUAGUUUAUUUGGUUAAGAUAUAGAGUAAUCAUUUGGUAGUUUUUAAAAAAUAUCACAAAAAUUUUUAAACUUUAAAAAUACCCCAAAAUGUAUUCCAAAAACGCCUCCAAAAACAUCACGAAAAACAUCUAUAGUAAAAAGUUUCAUAUGUACUGGUAUAGUAAAAUAUUUCAAAAACACCCCCCCCCAAAAUAGCUAAUCCGAAUGGAGUUAGGGUGUUUAUUGUUUUUAGUUGAGAGGGGUGAGGAGAAAAAUUAGGGAGAGUUGUGGUUGUUUUAGAGGCAAUUCUGUCUAGGCACAAUUUAUGUUAGUCUCAAAUAUAAGAGUUCGAUAUGCUUUAUGUAAUUUAUGAUUAUUAAACUCGUCUUUUCCCAUAUAUUAGUCUCAAAGUAUAUUUCAAAUGUCAUAUUUUUAGAAAUGUAAGAUUAAUUAGAAAAGGAAAAUAAACACAAGGAAGGGUGGGUAAAAUUAAAUAAAGAAAGUGUAUAAAUGCAAGGGAAGAGAAUAAUUGUUAGUAUAUAUAUGGUAGGUUAGGUGAAUUUUAAGUAUAUUAACGAGUGCUCAAUGGAUACUCGUUAGAAAAACCCUAUUUUUAUAUGUAUUAAAUAUACUUCUACUCUGCGAUUUUAGUGCCCACAAUAGGGUAAUUGGAGUUGGAUGACUUAGAUUUUCUUACUAAAGUUACCCUCAUUACAAAAUGUAGUCAUUAUGUAACGGCCAUUGUCAAAUAUACUUCUGCUAUGUGAUUUUAGUUCUUACAAUAGGGGAAUUGGAGUUAGAUGACUUAGAUUUUCUUACUAAAGUUACCCUCAUUAUAAAAUUUAGUCAUUAUGUAAUGGCUAGGCAUGUCAAUGGGUAGGUUUUAGGUUGGAUUCCUUUAAUCCAGAUUCAGAUCCAUUUAAUUUAGUUAGACCCAGACCUAGAUCAAGAUCCUUUUGGGUCUGAAAAAGUAAGUCCAUACUCAAACUCUUAUAGAUCUGGGUACCCAAUAGACAUCCAUGGGUAUUUUCUGAAUAUGCUAAAGUAAAAAUGUAUUAAAAAUAUAUAGAGUUCAUAAAUAAUAGAAAUACUAUCCAAUUUUUGUUUUCAAAUAAUAAAAUUAACAUUCAACAAAUUAAAUGCAAUAUUUUGAACUCAAAGAAAGAAUUAUUAUUGACAACUAUAUAUUUUUAAACAUUCAACUGCAUCCAUGACAAUAUUUCAUUUGUUUGCCUUUACCUUUUCUCCUUUUCUUGAAAAAGUUUGUACCAAUUACAAUGAUAACUAAGAUUAGUUUUUAAAAAAGAAAAUAACCAUAACAUAUAUAAAUAUUUAGUCUUAUUAAAAAAAUGUAAUUUUGUACCUCUUUUUCUUAUUUAAAUCUCAAUGUUGGCAGAUGUCUCGCAAUCCAACACUAAAAUAGUGAAUGAGAUAAAAAUCAUUUGAUUAAGGACCGGUGACAAAUAAAUAAUAGAAUAAGAAGAUUUAUAAAUACUUGCUCAUUGCUUUUUUUUUUUUUUUAUUCAAUCCAAUCAUCAAUAGUCACUAAUGUUUCAACCAUAUCUAGAAGCAAUUUAGCAUGAGUCUCAUUAAUCAUCCAACGACCAACACAGAAUGCAGAUUCUGAUGCCAUAAAUCUUAUUGUAUUCGAUCCAAUAGCCAUAAAAUAUUAUAUUAUUUUAUAAAUUUUCUCAUAUAUAUAUUAUUUAAUUAAAUAUAUAAGGGUUUGGGUAAGGUUUAGUAGGGGUCUGGAUUUGGAUAUGAAUUUUAGAAAACCAGACCCUACCCAAGUCCAUGACUCUCUCAUAGGGUUUGGAUCUGAAUUUGAGAAAUUAAAUCCAAACCUUAUCCAAAUAUAUUGGGUUUGGAUUGGAUUUUGGUAAGAUCCGAUCCAUUGACAUGCCUAGUAAUGGCUAUAAAUUUCUAUGCCUUCUUCUUGAUGAUUAUCAAGGAUAUUUAUGUAAUAACCUUGAGAUGUUACUUUAAAAGAAAAAUUCUAUACUAAACGACAUAUGAUUUAAACUAUAAAAACAAACUAAAUGAUCGUGUUAAUAUAUACACUGACAGUGUAUAUAAUAUUACUCAUUUUUUAAAUUAAGAAAAUUUUGAAUUAGUUUGAUGCUGAUGGCUUUUAAUUUUGGACACCACCUACAAUGGCGUUGGGAUCGUCCAAUCAAGGGAGAUUGGGAUCGUCCCAAACCUUAUCCAAAUAUAUUGGGUUUGGAUUGGAUUUUGGUAAGAUCCGAUCCAUUGACAUGCCUAGUAAUGGCUAUAAAUUUCUAUGCCUUCUUCUUGAUGAUUAUCAAGGAUAUUUAUGUAAUAACCUUGAGAUGUUACUUUAAAAGAAAAAUUCUAUACUAAACGACAUAUGAUUUAAACUAUAAAAACAAACUAAAUGAUCGUGUUAAUAUAUACACUGACAGUGUAUAUAAUAUUACUCAUUUUUUAAAUUAAGAAAAUUUUGAAUUAGUUUGAUGCUGAUGGCUUUUAAUUUUGGACACCACCUACAAUGGCGUUGGGAUCGUCCCAAUCAAGGGAGACUGAAGGAAUUUUACGAGGCGGCCACAUUGAAUACGCGAAAGAAAGAGAAAUUUUGAAGGGAUUUUGAAUUAGAAGCAUUUUGCUUGGAUGUAUAUUCAUAUCUUAAAAUUGUUAAAAACAGCUAGCCCAACCUAGCACUGACAUGUCCCAUGCAGAACUUUAUCAUCCACAAAUCAACUUUUCUGUUGUUGAAGAAUCACAAAUCGACUUUUCUUUAUUCAUUAAUAUGACAUCAUGUGGUUUGGCUAAAAUAAUUAUACUUUAACAAAAAGCAAACAGAAAAAAAAAAAGAGAGAGCAAAGGAUUUUUCCUACUAGUACACCUAGCUUAGGCGAAAUGCUAUAGGAACAUUCUGUCAUCGGUUCUCCUAGGUCGGUUUCGACCUUCCCUCGCUCCACUUUGGCUUUUCCUUGAUCGAAAGGAGGUGUUAGAAUGAUAUCCCUCAUCAUCCGCAUCAUGAUCAGCACUCUGAAUACUCGAAACCCUAUUGUGUGUAUCUCCGGUACCUCGCAUCUUAAUGGCAGCCAAUCUAUCGGAUAUUUGUGUCAUCACAAUUUCAUGCCUCUCCGCUUGUUUUUGAAGAGUUUGGAGCACCAGUUUGAGUGACAUGUUGGUCUCAGAAUGCUCAGGCAUGUUCCCUUCUUGAGACAUAUUGUCCAACCUGCAAAAUAAGUGUAUCCUCGUCCACCUUGCAAGCACUCGUCUAUCACUCAAGGAAACACACUUACUCUCAAUUUUCCUUCUCGAAAUUUUUAAAACAACUCAAACUCUCAAAAAUUUUAGAAUUAAUUACCAUAUAAGCAAGUAACAAGACACAAAGCAGAAUUUUGUAAAUCUUAGAAAAACUCUACCCGAAUCUAGAACUGUUUUUUUGAGCUGUUGUUUUUGCUGAGUUUCUGGUCAGUAUUUUGGAGGGUAAGUGGUGCUUUUGGAAUGCUCAAAUAAUGUACGAACCAGUCCUCAAAUUUCAGUCAAAUCGGCUCGCAAAGACUAGCUCAACCGAUUUUAGAAAUUCAAGAAUUUAAAGGCGGUUUGGCUAAGGUGUUUGUGGUGGUUUAGGUUUGGUUUCAGAAAUUGAUUUGGGGGUGUCUGGGGCUGGUUAGAUCGUUUGGGGUCGUUGGAAUUCAAUUAAAAUUGGAGACUCAAGAAUUGGAAACCAAUCAAGAUUUGGAGACUCAAGUUUUGGGAAACCAAUCAAGUUUUGAAAACUAAUUAAGAAUUGGAAACCAAUCAAGAAUUGGAAACUCAAGAUUUGGAAAACUUAAUUUCCUUUGUGUGAGAGCCGAUUCCUUCUCUUCUUCCUUUUUUUUCGUUCUCCUUUUUUUUUUUUUUUUGCUUCGGCUCUUCAAGGAAUACAAAUUCAGGUCACACCAACAAGUUCAAGAAAAUGGAUAAAAGGUUAUGUAAAUUCCAAGAAGACCCUAGUUCUUGAUUUAUUAUUCAAGAACUUUCAAAACAAGACUUGGUGGUCCAAGAACUUCAAGAAUUUGUUCAAAAAGCUCAAGAACUUCCCCAAAUUACGUUGUGGUAUUUAGGGUUUACAAGAACAAUAACCAAUACUCAAGAAAUAGGCAUAACAAAAUUUCAACAAUACUCAAAAGAAUUCCUGCAAUACUCUAGCAACUUGGACACUAAAACAACAUAAGAUACAUGACUCUUUUUUUUUUUUUUGUCUUUAAACCCUAACAACCCAAACACAAGUAUAACAGACCCAAGAACUUGGACAGAAAACACAAAAAAGACAAUACCCAAACAGAUUUAUUUUUUACUCGGAUGAACAGUAACGUGAAUAGUACGCUACAGUACGAUGAACAGUAUUCGGUACAGUAACGAUGAACAGUAUGCUACAGUAUUUUUUUUUUUGACAAAAGACACAAACUAACAAGAUAUGAAUAACUUCAAUUAAAAGAGAAUUAACCUGAUGCUCUGAUUACCAACUGAUGAGCAACCCUAGGGGAAGACCCUCCUAGACCAACUGAUGAGCAACCCUAGGGGAAGACCCUCCUAGACCCUCCCAACCUUGUAAUUAUCAGAGUUGGAUCUUUUCUCCCAAUGGAAAUUGAAGUCGAUUGUUCUCACAAACUCAAGACCUCUGACACACAAAGGUAUUCGGCAAUCUUAAACAAAUAAAGAUGGAUGAAGAGACACCACGAUUAGGGAACAAAGUAUUCGAUAAAGUCUGAUUUGAAUCCUAAGCUAUGAAUUCAAGAAUUCAAGAGUAAGUUCGAUUAAGAACUUGAAGGAAAAUUCCUCACGAUUUCUGGUUGUAAUUUUCUGUCCUUUCACUCAUAUAAUAGGUGCCUUUUAUAGGCUAAAACUAGGGCAAAUCCGGCCCACAUAAACCUAGAAUGGGCAUUCGGUCCGUAUAAAGAGCCAGCUCUUUAAGGCUUCCCGAUAAGGCCUAAUAAGUACUCCCUCCGUCCCAGAAUAAGGGACGUUUCUUGGGAUUCUAACUUGUUAUGCACAGUUCAACCAAUUUGAAUGUGAGACAUCUUUUUCCAAUUGUGCCCUUUUGACCGAUGUCAAAUCUUAAUGGCUGUCUACGGUGAUGUUAAAAGAAUCUAUGGGUCUAUGCAAAGUGAAAGUUUUUUUUCAUGCGAUUGCCAAGCACGCACCUAUUUCUGGCCACCAAAAUUUUUGGUGCUAUCCACGCACGUUUCUUUUGGAUGUCUAUUUAUUGCUUUUGUGGGUUCUAUCAUAUUUGUUUUUUAUUUUAUCAAUGUCUCUUUUGAGGCUACAAAUGGAAUGUUAGAGAAAAAAAUUGUAGUGUGACUCAAAUUUUGGGACAUGAAAAAAGGUGAACUAUGACAAUAACAAUGGGACGGAGGGAGUAAUAAAAUACUCAACGAUUAACAACUACUAAACUAGGCAGUCUUAAACCAACUACCAACUAAGCUAACAAGUAUGAGAUCUUUCACUUCAAACGUACAAGUGAACAAGGUAAUUUCAUGGUCCAUCAAAUCUUCAAAUUUAGCUUGCUCCUUGCUUGUAUGGUGAAUGAUCAAGGCUCGUAAAGUUUCCUUCACCUUCUUGGAUCUUGAUCUUGUCAUCGGACCACCAAUGUUGAUCAAAGGGUCCUUGACCCAAGGUUGAAAUUGUUGCACAUCCGUAUCCGUAUCAGAAACUUUGGAUAACAAGUCCCAAACCGUAGUUAGUUUCAAAUCUGUCCAAAACACUGUUUUCAUUCACAAAGUCAGUUUUGCAUUUCAAUCAUAAAUCACUCAAUUUAAUUCGGAAUUGAACGUGGUUGGUGGCGUUAGAAAAUAGACUCAUAAGGAUAUAUUUUCUCAGAAGAAACCAUUUUCAAAAUCUAUCCAUAACCAACUCAUUCAUGAGCAUCAAGUUGCAACUCAUGUGCCGUCUUCCAGGAAGCAACGAAAUGGACGAUGGAUUUCAAACGAAUUGUUUGGCUUGCUCAAGUGGAACCAGAAUGUGAAUUUUAUACCAAUAGAAAGCUGGGAAUGUCUAGUUUCCAGUGGGCAAACGGCACUCGAUUCCGAUAUCGGAGUAAAAGGAUAUAAUCAAAACAAAUACACUACCUGGGUGAAUACAUGAUAAAUUUCUAGAUUUUUAAGCUUUCGUAAAUCCAACAUUUGGGUGACCAAAUCAAGUUAUUUUUCAAUUCAACUUUUUACACAACUAAUAUAACAUGUAAACAACAUAAACAAGCUAUUAGAACCUCAAAAUUUUGCACAAAAGUGGUCGGACAAGGCAGGGGUAAAAUGGUCACUUUUGCUCCAAGCACCUCUUUUGAUUUUCUACCAACAAUACAACAUUAAUCCACUAAUUUAAGCAUUAAACCACCAUUAAUUUCAUCAUCAAUAAUCAAAUCAGUCUUUCCAUCAAAAUUGGUAGUUCGUAGAGCCCACACAAUAAGAAUCCACCAUAAACAAGACUACCCACAUGCAUACAGUAGCUUAGAUGUGCAUUACUACUUCCAUAAAACAAGAAUUUGAGAGUUGAUUGUUACCUACUCCACUUGGUGCGCAAGAGCAGAAAUUUUCGAUCCCUCCUUGGCCCAAGAAAACCUGAAAACAGCCCAUUUUCUUAGCUUAAUGUAGUCUCCAAGUGAUUAGCUAUGUAUGGUGAAAUUUUGGUGUGAUUUGGUGAAGGAUUAGUGAAGAUUUUAUGAAGGAAAAAUGAAGAACUUUGGUGGGUUUUCUUCUUGAGGUGCACGGCUGUCUUACAGCAAGAAAAUGAGAGUGUUGCACGCCACUUUAGAUGAUGAAUUGAAGGGUUUUGAUCUAGUGUGAUGCACCUGUGAGAAGCUUAAUAAUGUGUGGCCCAAAAUGCUCCAAAAGUCAAUUAAGGAUAGUGCGCGUACACGCGGGCUUCGUGUUCGAUUCUUGUCGAUUUUAUUUCACUAGUACACUAAACCUCUAAUACACUUGUAUACAUACUAUUGUUAUUCACUCUUAAUAGUCCAAAAAUAAUGGGUUUAAGUUUUUCAAUUAAUCAUGUGCGUAAAAACGUGUACUUCCGAUUUAAGCGCGAUAAAGUGAAAUUUCCAAGAAAUUCUUAUAACGAUAGUAUUACUAACUAAUACUUGAAUACUUAGGCAUAAAAACACCUAUUUUAAGACCAAUGUGCAAGCCUCUAAUUUUCCAAGCUUAUUGUAUUCUCGAAUCGAUUAUUGACUCUAAUCGUGUAUUCACUAUUUUCACUUAACGAACUUCCGAAAAUUAAAUUUUGAAACAAGUCACUUUAAAAAUAUAACUAAGCUAUAAAAUCAUGUAAUUAGGUCUAAAUAGACUAGAAAAUAAUAUUCGGAGUAAAUGGGCAAUUAAAUAUUUAAAUAACCUCGAAAUGGAAUUUAAAAUAAUAAAUUUUGCGAAACCUCACAUGAGUCGAGUUUUAACUCCUCAAAUCUCAAAUUAACUUUUCUUAAUGUACUAUUGAUCAUUCUUACUUCUCCAAAAUUAAUAUACUCUCGAUUCAAAUGUAGUCUCGAAAAACGUAUACUCAUUGUUCCGAACUAAACAAGUUUUCGAAAAGUAAAUUUUUUUAACAAAACGUUUUAAAAACAUAAGAGAGGUGUUUUUGUAUAUAAAUGGAUUUUAAGUAGUCGAAUUAAAUAAUUCGGAGAAAAUGAGUAAAUAACUAUUUAAAUAAAUCAGUAAUAUAUGACGAAAAUAAGAAAAUUUUCGGAUCCUCACAACCUCCUCUCCUUAAAAGAAUUUCGUCCUCAAAAUUCACAUCUAGGAUAAUAUCAUAUUCCUUAAGAGUUAUUCUUAUCAAAUCGAUCAACAACUUACAUUUUCCAACCCAUAUCUCACAAUUUCUAUUCAUCCAAUUAGCAAUGAACUUUAAUUUCCCAAUAGGUGUUUUGCUUCCAAGUUGUAAGACAAGUUAUCACACUUUACUUAUACCAUUCAUGGAACUGGAGUUUACACAAGAGUAAUUGGUUCCAGUGUCAAUUAAAACUCCAGUUUAAAAGAUUCAAUCUUGUAGUUCAAAACUCGAAUAGAGUGAUAUAUUGUCAGUUGAAGACUAAACUUAUCAAAAUUUUCGGACUUAAUUUGUCCAAAUCGAGUCAAUCAUAGCAUGCGAAAUAAAAUCGAGGGAUUUAAUGUAUUUUGGAUAUGUAUGUGGCAAAAUGCAAUUCAAAAUUUCAAAACUAGAGUUAAGGAUACAAACUUUUCUUUAUAAUGCGAAACUAAAUUUUCUUAAUCAGAAACUUCAAAUAAUAUUUUUACCACAAUCAUCAAUACGUUUAAGAAUUCUUCAAAUACGUUUAAGAAGAUUAAUCAUGCAACUCAAUAUGUGGAUACUAAAAUACAUCUAUAAUAAAAUAACAUAUACAGGGAGGAUAUUUCAAAAAUUCUCUCAAAGUUUUAAAUUAAGAGCUGCAUUUGAGUAGACGUAUAUUUUCGAAAACACUUUUAAAAAAGAUAAAUAAACAUGCAAGUUCAUAUAUUCAUAAACUUCGAUCCAACGCCUUUAUCACCCUUCACUUCUAAUCCAAAGGCUAGCUCUAAUGGUACAUAAAACUUUGUCAUUUUUACUCUCCAAUUCACAGCAAAUAUUCACUCUUAUUCUUAAGGAAAGAUCCGAGUCUAAACUUUGCUCGAUUUCUGAUUCUUACACGGGUUCAAGAUGCAUAUACAAGUUACAAAUACAUUUAAAAUUAAAGCAUGAUUCUUUGAAUAUAUCAAAAGUCAUAGUACAAGUUAAGAGAUCACAAACAAGCCAAGUAUGUCAAAGAUAGGUCAUGGACAAUUAAGCGCCACAAAAACAAAAGUACAUGUAAGCAAAUUACAAAGGAUCUCACGGUAUGCACCACCCCUACUAUCAUAGGCAGGAGCAAAAGCAAAAAAUCA